Molecule: ribosomal RNA, 253 nt
Filed under: uncultured bacterium
Lineage: Bacteria
Description: partial 16S ribosomal RNA
Rfam family: Bacterial small subunit ribosomal RNA
Source: RNAcentral
UACGUAGGGGGCAAGCGUUGUCCGGAUUCAUUGGGCGUAAAGAGCGUGUAGGCGGUUUGGUAGGUCCGCUGUGAAAACUCGAGGCUCAACCUCGAGACGCCGGUGGAAACCAUCAGGCUAGAGUCCGGAAGAGGAGAGUGGAAUUCCUGGUGUAGCGGUGAAAUGCGCAGAUAUCAGGAAGAACACCCGUGGCUAAGGCGGCUCUCUAGUACGGUACUGACGCUGAGACGCGAAAGCGUGGGGAGCGAACAGG